GACCAGACAUCAAUGUGUUGGCCUCGACCACGUUCUCAAAUGCCUCGGUACAAACACCGCGAGUGUUGGAAAGAAUAGCGCUCAGGGCAUACUUUUCAAGAGUGUCUUUGCAAGCACGGGCAAUGUAACGGCCAGCAAUGGAGGCCACACCUCCGGCAAAGGAAGUGGAAUUUGAGCGAAUAACGGAUUCAGUUUCCACCCAGGUGGACAAAGCAUCACCAAUGCCACUAAUAAGGAAGCGGACGGGAGCGCGAACAAUCACAUCGGUAUCGAUGAAAAUGAGGUUGGGAUUAAGGGGGUAAAAGCUGUAUUUUUGGAAUUGACCGUCAGGAGUGUAAAUGACGGAAAGAGAGGAAGUAGCGGCAUCAGAGGAGGCAGUAGUAGGACAAAUGAUGGAUGGAAGAUUCAUGGAAUGAGCAAUAUACU
Schizosaccharomyces pombe (fission yeast) is the source of this 426-nucleotide non-coding RNA. Lineage: Eukaryota; Fungi; Ascomycota; Schizosaccharomycetes; Schizosaccharomycetales; Schizosaccharomycetaceae. The record is from the annotation of a GenBank genome assembly.